GGAAGUAAAAGACGUAACAAGGUUUCCGUAGGUGAACCUGCGGAAGGAUCAUUAAUGAGUUGUCAUGGGGUUCGAUGCUGGCAGCCAAUUUUUGGAUGCAUGUGCUUGCCCUAACAAUCAUCUUCCAAACACCUGUGCACAUUUUUGAGGGAGUCUUGAGUUGGUUGCCGCUCUUGGGUGAUUUUCUCACAUUCCCUUAAAUCAUUAUACGCUAUUAACAAUGUUGAACGUGCUCUGUGCCGCAAGGCUAUUAAUAUAAUACAACUUUUAACAACGGAUCUCUUGGCUCUC
RNAcentral lists this unclassified non-coding RNA (291 nucleotides) under plant metagenome. Its description in RNAcentral is "partial contains small subunit ribosomal RNA, internal transcribed spacer 1, and 5.8S ribosomal RNA". The stretch from base 1 to 54 matches the Rfam family "Eukaryotic small subunit ribosomal RNA", at positions 1778 to 1831 of the family's 1831-position model. The record is from RNAcentral.